This 545-nucleotide long non-coding RNA is filed under the name Homo sapiens (human). RNAcentral describes it as "non-protein coding lnc-KRBOX1-1:8". Lineage: Eukaryota; Metazoa; Chordata; Mammalia; Primates; Hominidae. The record is from RNAcentral.
ACAGUACGGGAUCCUUUCUGGAAUGGAGGUCUUAUGAGCUGCUAUUGAACACGGCAGGUAGCUCAUGGUGCUCCCUUCCUUGGUGCAGACGGGCAGUUCAAACCACACAAACUCCAGCCUGUGGGAGAGGGAUCCUUCAUCCUGGACGCACCUGCCCUCUGCCCAGCCACUAUAAAAACCAGAGCCACGUGCCCCUUCUUUUGCUUGAGUGUGGGCCCUGCUGUCCCCAGAAAGCCUCAUUACGGCUUUGCUGGAAACCUGCCUGUGAGCUGACAACUAGCAAAGAGUGCUAAGUGUUUGUUAAACAAGGCAAGAUCACAGUGUUCAGCAGACACGAAAGGCCUCAGAUGGGCUGUUGGACCCAGAAAUACACACAGGAAUAAGAUGCAGCCUUGCCUUCAAGAAGUCCCCAGCCUAGUAGAGGCAAUGUCUCUAUAGGUUAUGAUUUACCUCCAGAUGAAUUAAACAGGCAAGAACCACACUUCCCACUCUGAUAUGUGAUGUGGGUGGGGCACGUGCUCAUUCCUGGAGCCGCCUCCCUGUUG